CAUUCUGUCAGAAGACGCAGCAUGGCCAUGGCAGCUGCCAAAUAAUGAAAAACCACUGGAACUCCUUAUCAGCACGUGGUGAUUCCCUUCAACAGCUGUCCUGCUUGGUUAGCAGUGCAACAGUGCAAGAUUCUCCAUGGAACCUAAAUGAGGAUGGCAUGAAAGGUCUGCAGAGCCUCAUCAAAAGAAAGCAGCAGAACAUCAGGGACAUGAGGGCUGAUGUGAGAAAGAAAUACUUGAAAACUUUGCCAGGAGCAGAGACCACCAACUUAUUGAACAGUGCACUGAGGAAGAUUAUUCUGACAGUGAGACGGAGUUUUCUGAUGAUGAACUGUAAUGGACAAGCGGCUACAGCGACACAGCAUCAAACAUGGUUUGUGUCGUUUAUUAAACAAUGCCUGACGUGACGUGACGUUCAAACCUCCCGCUUGUCCCUGUGGUUAUCUCUCUCUUGUGUGUGUAAAGAACGUUGUCUGAGGUUGUUGUAGUCCUGCGGCCAACAAUAUAAAUGUUAGCAUUUUAUUAAAAAUCAUUGAGAUAAUAGUUAUUGCUAUCCUAUUUAUCUUUAAUGUCAGUACAAUUGAGGAAUAAGAUCAAAGAAAACUUGUCAACUUCUCAUGUUAAAAAUAGUAUUUUAAGGAAGAACAUAGUACACAGCCGCAUGACACACAUAUACUUGUGUGACAGAUUCACCUCAAUAUCUUCCUGCUGCCUUUUGCUCUGACGAGCUGAAAACGGGCCUUUGUGGUGAGAGGAGUAUGAGCUGAGCGCACACCACAGGUUAUGUGCUUUACUAUGUGUGUAACGAGCUGACUGGGGAGUAGCUUCACUUACCCACUCCUCCGAUAUUGCUUCAGGCCCGGUUGCAACUCGACUCGACCGGACUCGGCGAAGACGUAGCUCAGUGAUAUGUUUCUGUGUUGUGCUUGUGGAUCAGUCUACCUUUACGGUACCUCACCAGUCCCUCACCAAAUCAUCACCUAAGGGCCUUCGUAACAUGCAAUCUGAAGCCUCUACCGAAGUAGCGUACUUGAACACCAGUAGGGCUACUGCCUGUACAUGUAACUGAACCCUCUACUGCAAUCUUUUAUUGCCAUUUUAUUUUAUGCAUGUUUGAAUACAUUUCUUCUUUGAAAUUUGUUACUUGUAAAUUUUGAAAGGUCCAAUACAAAAUGAAGUUCAAUGUCAUUAUAAUGUGUAUUAGAAUAAUUUUUGUUAAUUGUGUGUGUGUGUGUAAUGUAAUGUAUUCAUGCUGUGUAUUUGCCAUAUUCCUCCUUGCCACGAGUCCAC
Molecule: long non-coding RNA, 1290 nt
Filed under: Sparus aurata (gilthead seabream)
Lineage: Eukaryota; Metazoa; Chordata; Actinopteri; Spariformes; Sparidae
Description: lncRNA (ENSSAUG00010010340.1)
Source: RNAcentral